AGACCAUUUUAGGCUAAGGAGCAGAGGGAGCAGUUAAAGGCUGGGCAGGGUGACCAAGAGUCUGGAAGGAACGGCCAGAGAGGUCAUAAAUGCUCAUGGGACACGGCCACCUCCCCAGCAGACUGGGAGCUUCCUGAAAGAAGGGGGCUGCCUUGAGGGCGUGGUGGGUCCUGGAGCUGCACCAGCAGGAGCUCAAGAAAUGGGACCUCCCUGACCAGGUCAGGAGGGAGCCGCCUCCCCUGAAGCUGGCUCCUGUGUGUCCUGACUGCUCAGCCUGACCUGUGGAUUCAGUGGAUUUUGAAGAUGGUACAAGCUGGUUCCGUGCACUGUGCUGGGGGCAGCCUGAGCCCCCCCCCGCCCCCCCCCCCCCCCCCCCCCCCCCCCCCGAUCCUCUGAUCCUCUAAGCUCCUGACUGACCUGUGAUGCUUUCAGAUCCUCAGAGACCCAUCUGCACUGUUUAGGCUGGAGCUGCUGGCCUUCACAAACGUGUUCCUCUCCCUACAGUGAGGACCGGACGGGACCUAAUUGUGACAAGGAGACUGGGCUGCAGAACCAGGGCAGAUGGAGGGAGCAGAGAGGUUUGCAGGCUGAUCCAGCAAGGAGGGGAAGUUGCCUGGGGAGGUUUGGAGUCCAGAUGGGAGAGAAAGAGGUGGUCGGUCACAGGCUGGCCACUCCUGGGCAGGCACGGGACAUUGACAGAGAGAAGCUCUACAUCAGGGUCCUGUGGGUUACUGGUAUCUGUGGUGACCUGACCUGCAGAUGCCUCAGCACAGGAAGGGAAGACUUGGACUGCUCAGAGGCCGAGCUAAGCCAAAGCUGCUCUCCCAUACACCUCCCUGAGGAGUCGGGGACCAGCUGAUCUGCUAUCCCUUGGGGAGGGCAACUGCAGGAAUAGGGCCUGGCCAGGCCUGUCCUGUUUGGUGUUGAAGAUUGGGGGGAGGUUCCCAGCAGCUGCCCCAGGGAAGCUGCAAUGGGUGGGACCUCUGCAACAGGCACCAGGUGGCACUGGCACCAGGGUAGCCACCCCAUUUCCCACUUCCCUGGGAAAUGGACCUGGCAGGCAUGCUGGUACACAAGGCCUGCUGCACUGGGGCUCAGAGGGUCCCAGAUGAAGGUUGACUUUGGACUUGAAUUUUUCCUGCAGCAGGAAAGUAAGCAAGCCAGACCAGUCCUGCUGGCCAAGGCCAGCCCUGGCCCCUUCAAGGAAGCCUGAACUGUCUUGAGGGAUCUCUGAGCUUUGGGGAACUUUGCGGGAAGUUGAUGAGGGUUGGGAGUUGCCCCAGGCUGGGCGUAGGGUGGGACCUGUCCCUCCUUCAUAACCCUUUGCUCUGGUCCUUAUGCCUGCUGAGCCCUGUCUUCCCAGCAGCUGGGCUGGGAAUCCUGGGGCAGAGGGACCUCCUCCUAUCCUGUGUCCACAGGCUCGUGUCUAAACAGGCAUUGGGCCAAGCCCCAGGUUUCUGCAGGAAAGACCGAGAGGAUCCCUCCAAUCCAAUUACUCAAAUGUGCCUGCAUCCGCCGGUGGCGCCGAGAUCGGGCCGGCCCAUUUCUGCCUGGAUGCCAGCCGCACAGGGGUUGGCAUAGCAACAUGAGCUCUGAUCUGCUGAAACUGGGAGUCAAUUCGUCACUGGGAGGACAGAAAGAAAGACUGAAGAGGACGCCUUUAAAAGUGAUGCGGGUCAGACAAAUCCAGGCUAAUCCCUGAAAUCCACAAAAAUGGGUCUGGCAUUAACACGUGUGCCAUAGCAGCGACUCCCAGUGACAUGGUGUGCCAGAUUUGGGUGUGUGAGACACGCUCCUUCCACUGGCAUUCUACUCCACAAGAGGGAGUUCUGGACAGGAUCAGACCGCCAGCCCCCUGAUGGCUUACUGCGCAGCUGUGUUUUCAAACUUUUAAACCAAGCAGCAGAAACUUUUCUUAAACAAUCUCACCCAGCACCUCUUUAUAUAAACAAUAAUCAGCCUACGAGGGGGAGGCCUGGAGAGGCAACUCCCACCCCUCCAGAAACCCCUAUCUUACCUGAGGAGGAGCCACUGGGACCCUUUUGAUCUUCGUCUGAAGAGGGGGCGCCACUGCAGUCAGGACCUGAAACGAGAUGAGCGGUUCACAGAGGUGUCCGGAACUCAACCGACAGCCAUCCAGCAGCCCAGAACAGGCUUUCACCCUCUUUGAAAAUAAGAUCACAUCAAGUCAAGGAUUCAAAAUGGGAAAAAUUCAAUCAGAGCCUCCCUCGGGCCAGCUACACAUCUCAAUACACUCGUCGGCCAGCAGAAUCGGCUCCCGCUACAACCCAGCUCAGCAUCAUCGUUCAAAACGCACCGGAGCCUCUAGCCCGCAGGCCUCUAGACCGCAGACCAGCACCUGGGGUGACCUCUGAUGGACGUGCAGCUCUAAGUGAGACCAUGUCCUUGGAUGCUUGGUCCAGGUUCCUGAAUACCUCUACCUCUCCUGAGAUACACCCCAGUCAGCAGAACCAUUUCUGGAGCUGGACGGACCUGCUCCCUAGUCCAGGAAGGAGUGGUCUCUUCUGGCAGGGGCAUCUCUCCAAGCCUCAGUUUCUACUUUCUUUCUACAGUUUCUCCUUUCCUUCUGACUUUAAAGUUCCAGAAAUGAUGUGUGCAAAGGGCCUGAUGCCUUAGGAGGUUGAUUUAUUUAUUCACAUGGUAAUGCUGGGGCCAAGUAUCUUUGAUGAGGUUCAAGCCCAGAGAUGUUUGGAAACGUUUGCAAAGUCACACAGCCCUCUGGCUGAGUGUCAGGGUCAGCCUGGGACUAGGCUGGGUUGGUGGAAUCCCCCUGGGGUGAGGGUGAGAAGCAGCUGCUGGCCUUGGGGAAAGGUCUUGAAUGAACUUUGGUGAAGGAGUUACCCGUAAACCUCCAGCACCAUGGCAAGAGGAGAGGCAUGGCUGGACAGGCAUACUCACAUGGCCUGUCUGCGCACUUGGUGGAGACCUCAUUGGCAGGGUGCAGAAGUACCCCAGAGUCACUUCUAGGAAUGGCCUGUGAGAGGAGCUGCUCCCCACCAAAUCCGUAUAUUACAGCCCUAACCCCCAAGGUAGCUGUAUUUGAGAGGAGGCCUCUAAGGAAGUGAUUAAGGUUAAAUGAAGUCAUAAGGGUGAGACCAUGAUCCAAUCAGAUUAGUGUCUUAUAAAAAAGACAUCUAAGAGAUCUCAAGGCCUCACCCAUGCAUUGGGGAAAGGCCAUGUGAAGACUGCAAAGCCAGAAGGAGAAAUCUCAUCAGAAACCCAAUCAGCCAGAACCUUGAUCUUGGGUUUCUGGCCUCCAGAAUUGUAAGAAAAUACAUUUCUGUUGUUUAAGCCCCCUAGUCUGAUAUUUUGUUACGGCAGCCCCAGCAGACUAACACAAGGAUGGGAUUGAGCAUGGGGAGCAUGGCAGAGGACCAGGAAUGAAUGCAGAGGCUUCCAGUUCAUCCAACUGUAUGGGUGCUGAAGUUGCUCACUGGCCAUGGGUGGGGUGGUGAAGGCAGGGUUGUGGUGUUGAGGGACAUGUGCAUGGAUGUGUCCAGGUGGCAAUGGGAUAUUCUGACCCAGAACUCAGCAGACAGGUCUGGGCUGGAGCAAGACUGGGGAAUUAUUAGAGUGUAGGUUAAAUCUUAGGAGUGGCUGAAUUUUGUCAGAUCACCUAUUCUUUCUUUUUCAACUGGUCCAUUCUAAUUCCAAUGAGUGUUGGAUCAGCUUUUGUCUUUCAUAUUUUUAUAAAAAGUCAACCAUCCCUUCUUUUUUGUUGUAUAAUUGUGCACAAAUUCUCCCCAAUUUUUAAAUGAGUUUGUUUUCUUCUACUUACCCAGAGCAAGUCUUACUUAGGAGCAUAACUCACAUGUGAUUAAGGUACUCAUGCGUGGUUCGAAUUGCACAUUUCUUCCUGACAUUCAUCUUAUCCUCACUAUUUAUGAUAUCAGUUCUUUCAUCAUUCUUAUCCAAUUGCAAAACAACAUAUCUCCCUUCAGCCUGCCAGAUCAUUUAUCACACCACAUUAUAACUAGCAAAUGCUGAUUUCUUUCUCUCAGAGUUACCCUUGAAAGGCACGCUGUGUGCAUUCUUUAUUUCUAGGCUGAGCUGUUUCUCAUCUCUGGAAACUUUUCUUGUAUUGUUUCUUUUCUGAGGUUUCCUCACGGUAUACCUCAUCCCGUUUAUCUUUCUCUCAACUUCUGUAGGGCUGUGACACCAUUUCCCACUCCCAGGUGGGUUAUGUGUACCUCUGAUUGUUGUCUUUUAUCUGUAUUUCUGGUUUGAUGUCUUGCUUUGUCCUCAACAUCACUGCUUUCUCUCCUCUAUUGUUUCAGUUAUCCCAACUACUGCUUCCAGACAUGUUUCAAUUCUUUUACGGUUUCCACCAUGGAAUUACAGCCUUUCUCCCCCCCCCCCCCCCCGGUUAUGAUCUGUUCUUGUUAGUAAUGUUUUUUGUCAUUUUUUUCCCAGUAAGUUCAUCUUAUUUGUUCCUGGGUCCUUUCAGAUUCCAUCAUUUAAAAAACAAAUUUGUGGACAUUUAUUGAGGGCCUACUGUGUGCAGACAUUGCUAUUCUGCAUUUAGCACUUGCAGGGGCCUGCUGAGCUUCUAGGUGCAGCAGAAUUCUGCAGUUAGAGCUGCUUUGAGGGAGGUUCUGGUUAACAACCAUUUAUUCCAUCUUGUUCCAAAGAAGAUUUAAGAUGACUUAAACUUUGUUCUAUGUACAAUAUAAUGAGACUUUUUUUUUUCUAGCAGUGAGGGAAUUAGAGUUAAAGAAAAAUAAAGGUAGAAAAGGCAAGCAGCAGCCAAGCAGAGAUACAAAGAUAGCAUGCAGGAAGUGAGAGUGUCUAUUCUGAUGGUGGCCUCGGUGGGCACAGAAGGGACAUAUCUUAUGACUGUGGCUUCUCCUUUUGAUUUCUGAUGGUGGUGCUGAAACGGUCCUUUGUUUUAAGUUCUUCCUUGAAAGGCUGCAGCACAGAGGAGGCCCCCCAUGUUAUGACUCACUCUGUAAGCCCCCUAGGUGGGAAACACUUACUUAAAAUUUUUUUCCCAAUAGGGAAGGAAUUGAAAAGAAACAGGCAAGAUACACGUGACAGUGUGGGCCGGCUGCAUGUAAACAGUGGGCCAGCUGCCUCCCGCUCAUCUUUCAAAAGUUGGUAUUGACUGAGCAACUGAUCCUCUGUGUAUUUCCUGUACCCUGAAUCUGAUAGUUUCCCUGUUUUGGGGUGGCAAGUAUAGUCUGGGAGUGGAAGGCUUCUUGGGGUCUCUCUGUUCCCACAGAACUCCAGAGUGGCCUCAUUUCACACCUCUCAGGAAACAGUUUUCCGAGUGACAGAUUGAUUGGUGUAUGGGUGGUUACCAAAAAAGAAUCUAUUUUAUUAGCUGUUUGUCUUGCAAAGUAAGAUCACUUUUUAAAACUUUAUCAAAAUGUCAUCGUCUUGGGGUUUCAGAACGUGCCCUCUGACUUGGAGGGAAGAUCUGCAGAUCCCACAGGUGAAGAGCUGUCAGGUCAGGGUCUUACAUGCACUCUCGGGUGGUGAGCCCUGGUGUGCCGCCCAGCCUGAGCUCUCUCGGGUGGCACGGAGGGCGCAAGGGGCAGCUGGGCACCAAAGUGCUGUUGCCAAAUCUCAUCCUGAUGCCUGAAAUGGCUUUUUUUUUUUUAAAUAUACCAAGGGAAAAUAAAAAUCUAGGCAUUCAUACACAUGAGAGACCAUGUACAGAUAACUUUGCUUUUCAUUUUGAAAAGGAAAUAGAAAAC
Lynx canadensis (Canada lynx) is the source of this 5720-nucleotide long non-coding RNA. RefSeq lists it as uncharacterized. The record is from RefSeq and is a predicted model, not a curated record. Lineage: Eukaryota; Metazoa; Chordata; Mammalia; Carnivora; Felidae. The transcript has 6 exons.